Long non-coding RNA from Siniperca chuatsi (mandarin fish), 450 nucleotides. RefSeq lists it as uncharacterized. NCBI's taxonomy places the organism in Eukaryota, Metazoa, Chordata, Actinopteri, Centrarchiformes, Sinipercidae. The record is from RefSeq and is a predicted model, not a curated record. The transcript is spliced from 3 exons.
GGCCAUAAGGGAAGGACUCCAGGGCCUCUGCCUCUCCCUGCCGAUACAGAGACACGGAUGUAGCAGCUACACCCAACCACAGCUUCUGGGAAAAACUCCCUGUCGAACUCUAGAGUGAGGAAGAGGGUGAAGACAGACAUUUACUUUUCAAACCUGACUGAGCUUCUCCUGCAUCCUUCGGACCACCUGGUGAGGGUCAAGUGAAAGUGGGUUGAAAAGACAGAUGGACACACAAAUGGUUAAACUUUAAGAGUGAAAUCAAAAGAGGGAGAAAUGUAAUUUCUGUGAUUUCACUUGACUCCAGAUUAGGCUAGGAAGUUUUGAACAGGAACACAUGAGAAGCUGAAAGAUUGAGAAAAGUUGUGCUAUAAAUUAAAAUAAAGAUAAAUGCACCCAAACCUCAUUGGCGGUAGUGUGUGAGCUGAUGUAGAGCUGGCAGGAUCCAGGGCC